This 5163-nucleotide long non-coding RNA is filed under the name Homo sapiens (human). RNAcentral's name for it is "HSALNT0114321". Lineage: Eukaryota; Metazoa; Chordata; Mammalia; Primates; Hominidae. The record is from RNAcentral.
GAAAAUGAUAUUAGAUGUUUGCUUGAGUAAUGGCACAUAUGAUUUUAAAUUUUUUGCUUCUUAUUUUCUAGGGUAUCUUAAUGAUGACAAUCAGAUUGGAGAUUAAUGAUGAAGUUUAUGUGUUUAAGGCUAUUAUACUACUUGAAAAAACUGUAUAAUACACAUUACAUUUUUAAAAGUUAUUAUUUUUCCUUCCUGUCAAUUAAAGGGAAGUUUUUUUGUGACAGAUGAGAGGACAAUACAUAUGAACUUCAAAAAGAAAGUUGAAAAAUAUUAUAUGACCAACCAACAUGGGAAAGGAUUUUUCAGGUCGCAAUUGUAUCAUCAUAUGGUCACAUGCUUUGUUUCCUAUUUUAAUAUGCACUUUAACUUGAUGUUUCUAUGUGCUAAAGCGAAGCAAAUAAAUGACUUGUGACAUAGGUAUAAAAUAAAACUUUAACUCCAUUUUCAAACACACGUACAAAAAGUGAACUAUAUUUGACAGCCACUACAUGUUUUUCAUAUAGGAAAAGUAGUGUUGUUUAUACCAAUUUCUUUUGCCGUAUAAAAACUAUAAUCUGUAGAGAAUUAAAAAGUGGCUUUUUUUUAAAGCACAAUAUUUUCCCCCAAGGCAGAUGGGAGAAUAUUCUAAAUGAAUUAUUAACCCAGAAGAAUUUAAGAAAAUUUCAUUGCACCCAGGAGAGGAAAAAAAAAGAAUCCAUCCUCCUUCUUGGUGAAGGGGAUAGGAAAUACGACCUGUCUCACUUUGAUCCAUAUUGAAGGCUUCGGAUUUCCUUCAUUCUCCAAGUGAUGCAAAACCAAGAUUCUCACCUAAGUGCUGAAACGACCUCAUAGCACAAAGGGGAGACAGAAAUUUUAAAAGGUAAUUAUGAAACAUAAAACAGAUGCUAAAAUGAAUAGAUGGGCAUAGACCUGUGGGACUGCAAAGCAAAACAAAUUAUUAAGGGUUUGAUGGUCAGUGUUAUCUAAACAUUGUGUAAACUUUUAAAUGUUUAUGAAUCCCAUCUCAGAGGUGUAACUAAUAUUUGUUUGUGUGUGUGUGUGUGUGUGUGAUACACUGAGCAACUGUAUACCACCUAGCAAGUGGCAUUCUUGCUUAGCGACUUACACUGGCCUGUUUACUCACCCUGCUGUAAAGAUCUUCAUUGUCCUUUCCGAAGGAUGUAUUUCUUCCUUACUCUACCCAUGGUCAGUAUAUAACCUUCUGGUAGUUCAAGCUGUCUGCAGCAAAAUCCUCUAAGGAAAGAUGGCUGUCUAACUCUUUUCUUCAGUCUUUGAGGUAUUACACAGCUCUCAGCUCUCUGUGGGCCCUUUAUCCGGAAGGCAGUCUUGGCUCCAAAGCAGGCAACAUUCUUGUAUCUGUGCACUGCAAUUCUAGUCUGCCCCUGUAAGUAAAAACACAUUUAUACUCUUUUUCUUAUAUGGAUAAUUCUUCUCCAAAAGUAUAUAACACCCCAAUUGUUCUUUGGUUCACUUUUAUUUCUGCUCAAUGAGCACAGGAGAGUAACUUAAGAUCACAGUCUCAUUUGUAACCAAAGAAAGGACCUCUCGUCUCACAAGGUCAUGGUAAAGAAAGAACAAGACGAUUAAAUGGAACUUAUUGUAAAAUUAUAUUAUAGUCCAAAAGGGAAAAUAUGGAGUGAUUUAUUAGUAAUCUUCUCACCCAAAGUUUAGAAAAAGCACUUUAGUAUUAGUGGCAAAUACUUUUAUAUUAAAUAUAGCCAUGCAUAUUUUAUGGAAUGUUGUUAUCAGCAGAUUAGAAAAUACAAUAUAAAAACAUGACAAAGAUAUCCAUUCUAAAUUAAUGUGGAAGAAAGAAAUAAAAUGAACUAUUUGAAUAUGACAAGGCAGCCCACAGGGUUUUCUGUGUGACACCUUUAGAAAUCUUCACAAGGAAAAUCAUGGCAAGUUUAAGAGCACUGCAGUGUAAAAAGAAAAAACAAAGACCAGUCACAAAAGAAAAUCGAAGUCAUAUUACACUAACAAUAGCUAAAUAAAGCUAAGUCCAGUGUUUAAAACUUACAAAGCCAUGAGAGAGGCAAGAACUAGCCUCAGUAAAAUACAGAUGCUGCACGUCUGCUGAAAAUUGGAUAGAAGCAUAUUUACUCCACUGUUUUCUGUGGAAUGUACUGAAAACAAUAAAAGUAACAGAACCUACGUUUUUUAAAAUAAUGAAACAUAUAAAAGAUUUUCUUAAAAAGGUCAAAAUAUGAAUAACCCUGUUUUGGAAUAUAAAGUCUCAAUAUUCUGAAGAUGUCAAUAAACUAUUUUUAACUUCAAUGCAUUUAUCAUAAAAUUUUAACAAAUGUGUCACUCUCUUUGUAAGUGAUUCUAGCAUUUCAUCUGGACAACUAAACAGGUGAGAAAAACAAAAAAAAAAUCUAAAAGGGAAGAUGAUUAAGGCAGACAUUACCAGUUGUAAAAUAAAUUUGCAUUAUUAAAAAUUAUAUAAUAUAGGUAAGCACAUUUAUAUAUUCCUAGUUAGGAGUAUAAAUCAAGAUAUUUCAAAAAGUAGAGUCACCAGAUUUUAUGGGAACUUACUGUCUACUAAAGAUGGCAUUCCAGUCAAUGGAGAAAAUAUGAAUUAAUUGUUAUAGUAAUAGAAAAACUGAGUAGCCAGAAAACAAUAUAAAUUUUCUUAGAGCAAAUAUCAUUUGAGCUGGAUGACUGAAUUACAUGUAUAAAGCAAAACAUGAUAAUGUGAAAACAAGCUAACAGAUAAAGUUGCUCCAGAGGUAAAUGGACGUAUCGCUUUGAACAAAAAGUAAAAUCCUGAUUUAUAAAUGUAAUUAAUGUAUCUGUUAAAAUUCUUUGUGUUAUACACAUUAGAAACUUGACUAACCAAAACAAGAUAAUAAUUGGUGAUAAAUAAUUUAAUUGAAGGAAAAGCUAAGAAGGCAAGAGGACAACCUAAAAAUGUUCAGGGUACAUUUACAUGACUCAGCUGCAACAGUUUCCAAAUUUGAUAAUUUAAAUUUCACAAUUUCAGAAGAGAAAAUCUAACGACCCAGUCUCAGUGAAGUGCCUUUGAAUAAAAAGUUCACUGUGGUGGAAAUGGGGUCCUCUGGCUACUGAUAGCGUGUCCCAUUUGCUGAUGUGAUAUCCCUGGACACAUAUGUUUGUAAGCCAGGAUUAGCCUUGGAUUCUAGAACAAGUUUUAAAUAAACAGCAUCACAAUAAAUGUAAUUGAAAAGUCAAAAAACAAAUAUAAAAGAAGGGGGGAACAUUGUACAACACAUAUGAUAAAGACUACAUUUCCACUUUUAAAAGAGAAUAAUAAAAAAUGAAUUAAAAUGGAAAAAAAAAAAAAAAAAAAGGCCGGCGCAGUGACUCACGCCUGUAAUCCCAGCACUUUGGGAGGCCGAGGUGGGUGGAUCACCUAAGGUCAGGAAUUCGAGACCAGCCUGACCAACAUGGUAAACCCCCAUCUCUAUUAAAAAUACAAAAUUAGCCAGGCGUGGUGGCACAGGCCUGUAGUCCUAGCUCCUCAGGAGGCUGAGGCAGGAGAACCGCUUGAACCCGGGAGGCAGAGGUUGCAGUGAGCCGAGAUCGAGCCACUGCACUCCAGCCUGGGUGACAGAGUGAAACCACGUAUCAAAAACAAACAAACAAACAAAAAAACAAAAACAAGCCAUGAGAGAAUGAAUAUCGAAAUCAGUAAGGGUGGAGAUUCUAAAGAGGGCAGCUCAGAUACAGACCUCAGCUCUACUCCAGUGUACCUGUGAACUGGAGCAAGUUUCUUUUCCUCUGGCGUGUUUCCUCACCAGAGGAAUAGGGAUAAAAAUGGCACACAACUCAUGUUUUUUUUGUAGAUUAGAUGAAUCAAUUCAAGCAAAAUAUUUACUUCAGAAUCCAGAAUGGAGCAAGCACUCAAUAAUAGGUUUACUUGUUUUGAUAAAUAUUAUUAUUAACCCCUUAGGAAGGGACAACUUAUUAUGUACAUAAAAGUUUAGAGGUGGCUGGGCGCGGAGGCUCACGCCUGUAAUCCCAGCACUUUGAGAGGCCGAGGUGGGCGGAUCACUUGAGGUCAGGAGUUCAAAACCAGCCUGACCAACAUAGUGAAACCCCGUCUGUACUAAAAAUAGAAAAAAAUUAGCCAGGCUUGGUGGUGGGCACCUGUAAUCCCAGCUACUCGGGACACUGAGGCAGGAGAAUCGCUUGAACCCGGUAGGUGGAGGUUGCAGUGAGUCAAGAUUGCGCCAUUGCACUCUAGCCUGGGUGACAGAGCAAGGAUCCAUCUCAAAGAAAAAAGAAAUGUUUAGAGGUGAAGAAUAUAUACAGUCAGUAAACUUACGGGGAAAAAAACAAAACAAAACAAAACUUCAUUGAUAUUUAAAGUGAUGCAAUUUUAAACAAUUAGAGAAGUCUCAUUCUGCUUAUUAGAUUGCUAAAAAUUAAACAAUACCAACUAUCGCUGAGAGUUUUCAUUUGACCCUAAAUCGCUACAAACUUUUUAAAGGCAAUUAUUAUAAUAAUAACUCCAAAAGUAAGAUGCACGCAAAACCGUAUCAGUGACAGAGAUAUGUUGCCUUAGGAUCAGAAGCACACCCCACCAGCACCCUGGACUACCUGCUCUUUGCUUUGUCAGUAGGCUUACAUUGUGCUUGUCCAAGGCUGCUGUUUUCUGUUUUCUUUUCUUUUUCUUUUUUUUUUUUUUUUUUUUGAGACGAAGUUUCGCUCUUGUUGCCCAGGCUGGAGUGCAAUGGUGUGAUCUCGGCUCACUGCAACCUCGGCCUCCCAGUUCAAGCAAUUCUCCUGCCGAAGCUCCUGGGGCAGGUGGGGGGUGCCUGUGAUGGGCUCCUGAUCUCCCAGGCGGAUCCGAAUAAAUGUCAAAGUUGGCAAGACCAAACCCUAUUAUCAAGUGCUAUUGAAGCCUAGGUAGUAAAUAACGGGCGAUAUCUGCUUGGCUGCAGGUCUCAGCCUUGAACUUCAUUCUAGCUUCACCGAGAAACCUUGAAUUUGUAGGGUUUAGGAUAGUUCCCAUCACUCUUAAAUCACUUAUUUUCCCUUCCAUUUGUCUCAGUGUUUCCUCAUACACUACUUAAAACACAUUGAAGAGACAAAUGGUUAAUACCUCAAAUUUCCAACUUAAUCUAUUUCUAUACAUUCAUCUACAAAUUGAGUCAAAUAAAUAAGGGAAUUUAUAUGUACAGAAUUUUCCUU